RNAcentral lists this ribosomal RNA (631 nucleotides) under Acinetobacter baumannii OIFC109. Its description in RNAcentral is "bacterial SSU rRNA". It matches the Rfam family "Bacterial small subunit ribosomal RNA", at positions 28 to 653 of the family's 1533-position model. Lineage: Bacteria; Pseudomonadati; Pseudomonadota; Gammaproteobacteria; Moraxellales; Moraxellaceae. The record is from RNAcentral. RNAcentral also lists the same sequence under 1 other name.
AUUGAACGCUGGCGGCAGGCUUAACACAUGCAAGUCGAGCGGGGGAAGGUAGCUUGCUACCGGACCUAGCGGCGGACGGGUGAGUAAUGCUUAGGAAUCUGCCUAUUAGUGGGGGACAACAUCUCGAAAGGGAUGCUAAUACCGCAUACGUCCUACGGGAGAAAGCAGGGGAUCUUCGGACCUUGCGCUAAUAGAUGAGCCUAAGUCGGAUUAGCUAGUUGGUGGGGUAAAGGCCUACCAAGGCGACGAUCUGUAGCGGGUCUGAGAGGAUGAUCCGCCACACUGGGACUGAGACACGGCCCAGACUCCUACGGGAGGCAGCAGUGGGGAAUAUUGGACAAUGGGGGGAACCCUGAUCCAGCCAUGCCGCGUGUGUGAAGAAGGCCUUAUGGUUGUAAAGCACUUUAAGCGAGGAGGAGGCUACUUUAGUUAAUACCUAGAGAUAGUGGACGUUACUCGCAGAAUAAGCACCGGCUAACUCUGUGCCAGCAGCCGCGGUAAUACAGAGGGUGCGAGCGUUAAUCGGAUUUACUGGGCGUAAAGCGUGCGUAGGCGGCUUAUUAAGUCGGAUGUGAAAUCCCCGAGCUUAACUUGGGAAUUGCAUUCGAUACUGGUGAGCUAGAGUAUGGGA